CCCAGACUCCUACGGGAGGCAGCAGUGGGGAAUAUUGCACAAUGGGGGAAACCCUGAUGCAGCAACGCCGCGUGAGUGAGGAAGUAUUUCGGUAUGUAAAGCUCUAUCAGCAGGGAAUAGAAAAGAAGGUACCUGAAAAAGAAGCCCCGGCUAACUACGUGCCAGCAGCCGCGGUAAUACGGAGGAUGCGAGCGUUAUCCGGAUUUAUUGGGUUUAAAGGGUGCGCAGGCGGCACGGCAAGCCGGCGGUCAAAUCGUGGGGCUCAACCCCGCCCAGCCGUCGGAACUGCCGGGCUAGAGUGGGCGAGAAGUGCGCGGAAUGCGUGGUGUAGCGGUGAAAUGCAUAGAUAUCACGCAGAACUCCGAUUGCGAAGGCAGCGCACCGGCGCCCUACUGACGCUCAGGCACGAAAGCGUGGGUAUCGAACAGGAUUAGAUACCCGCGUAC
Molecule: ribosomal RNA, 446 nt
Filed under: uncultured bacterium
Lineage: Bacteria
Description: bacterial SSU rRNA
Rfam family: Bacterial small subunit ribosomal RNA
Source: RNAcentral